AGCCUGAUGCAGCGACGCCGCGUGAGGGAUGACGGCCUUCGGGUUGUAAACCUCUUUCAGUAGGGAAGAAGCGAAAGUGACGGUACCUGCAGAAGAAGCGCCGGCUAACUACGUGCCAGCAGCCGCGGUAAUAUGC
This 136-nucleotide ribosomal RNA is filed under the name DWDS enrichment culture clone R29. RNAcentral's name for it is "partial 16S ribosomal RNA". It matches the Rfam family "Bacterial small subunit ribosomal RNA", at positions 380 to 528 of the family's 1533-position model. The record is from RNAcentral.